AGCCAGACUCCUACGGGAGGCAGCAGUGGGGGAUAUUGCACAAUGGGGGAAACCCUGAUGCAGCGACGCCGCGUGGGUGAAGGAGCACCUCGGUGCGUAAAGCCCUAUCGGCAGGGAAGAAACAGACGGUACCUGACUAAGAAGCCCCGGCUAACUACGUGCCAGCAGCCGCGGUAAUACGUAGGGGGCAAGCGUUAUCCGGAUUUACUGGGUGUAAAGGGGGCGUAGACGGCAUGGCAAGUCAGAUGUGAAAGCCCGGGGCUCAACCCCGGGACUGCAUUUGAAACUGUUGGUCUUGAGUAUCGGAGAGGCAGGCGGAAUUCCUAGUGUAGCGGUGAAAUGCGUAGAUAUUAGGAGGAACACCAGUGGCGAAGGCGGCCUGCUGGACGACAACUGACGGUGAGGCGCGAAAGCGUGGGGAGCAAACAGGAUUAGAUACCCUAGUAC
This 447-nucleotide ribosomal RNA is filed under the name uncultured bacterium. Its description in RNAcentral is "bacterial SSU rRNA". It matches the Rfam family "Bacterial small subunit ribosomal RNA", at positions 329 to 793 of the family's 1533-position model. The record is from RNAcentral.